UCUUCUCUCACAUUAUUUAUUUAAAAACGCAUCGUUAUUCGCAAACAGACGUCCGAAGAGGUUUUAAUCACGCGUAUAAAUGGGAAGUCUAUCAAGUCUCUCGCGCUCCGUGCAAAUACAGGCUAUAUUCGCUCGUGUAAAUUUGCCCUUCGCUUCGCAGAUAGACGUGAAUUACACGCCGGGCGCAUGUGUACGCACGACUUUUCGGCCAACGAAAUAGAUUGAAAAGCUCUGCUUUUUUUUCUGGUUAGCCCGCAGCAGCAAUUAUUUCUCCCGCAUUAAAAAAAGGGGGUAUAUGCCAUGUGCAAACGUGGCUAAAAGCCGUAACGCUCAUUCGGCCGGCUGUGCGGCGGGACAAAAAAAGAGGAUUAGACAGGAGAAUUGUUGCGCCGAUGCGUCGUGUAUGUGGAUUAUUAUAAACUGCUGAUGUUUUCCUAUGGACUUUGUCGCGAAAACAUCGAGGCUGACAAAUACGCGAAUAUGGGACGGCGUGUUUGAAAAAUACAUAUAGGCGUUGGUUUUUCUUCGAGUGCAGUUCGCGUUCGCGUAUUUUUCUCUCUGUGUCGAAAUUUCGCUGAAAUAUCUUUCGAGGCUUGCGCAACCGCGCAGUAGAGCCAAUAUCCGCCGAUAGUGUGCAGCGACUAGCCUAGAAAAUGUCGUGCACUUAUAACGAAGAAAGACUUAGAAGAGCUAGAGACGAAUUUAAGCAAAAAAAUAAAUCGUAUCGAGGCCAACGUACAAUACUAUUUGCGCGAUGUUUUAAAGAACCUCAACAUGCAUAUGCCAAUUUUUGGAGCACCUGAGGCUGCAGGGGCGCAAAUUCUUCCGACGUUCCCUUUUUCUGUGCAAGAGGAAUUUCAACAAUUCGAUGAGACUUAGCCCUGGAUGAAGAAAAAACAACGCAUUGAAAACUAGAAUCGCUUGGAAAAAUUUUGAAGGCCAUUAUCACGAAAGCCGUCCAAACUAACUAUUCAGCUUGCGGAAGAAAAAUUAAGGGCCAGAGAAAGCUGAAUUUCAGCAGCACCAACACCUACAAAAUAUUGACCGAUGUACUGGUGGAAAAAUUUGCUGUAAGAUUGGAAAGCAUAACAAGUUAUGCAUCACGCUGGUUUUCCGGUGCACCUGAUAGAGAGAAGGGAAAGCAAAAUCGCAGUUCUUAAAAAAAAUCAGUCGAUGAACAUUAUUUUGUUAAAAAGUUAUGUUUAUGCUUAUGUUAUCGUUUUCUACGAAGUUUUAAGGUUAUUUAAACCAUAUAUGUAAACAUGAUUAUUACCUAAAAUUUUUU
Molecule: long non-coding RNA, 1285 nt
Organism: Nasonia vitripennis (jewel wasp)
Lineage: Eukaryota; Metazoa; Arthropoda; Insecta; Hymenoptera; Pteromalidae
Exons: 4
Source: RefSeq, a predicted model, not a curated record